This is a long non-coding RNA of Teleopsis dalmanni, 169 nucleotides long. RefSeq lists it as uncharacterized. The transcript is spliced from 3 exons. The record is from RefSeq and is a predicted model, not a curated record. Lineage: Eukaryota; Metazoa; Arthropoda; Insecta; Diptera; Diopsidae.
UUUUAUUAAACAAUUUUAAUAAAUUUAAAGUUCUAAAAUGGCACGUUAUUUUAAAGAACAAGAUAUAGACGAAUUUCGUGAGUGUUUUUACUUAUUCGCACGAUCAGGCCAAAUUACUACUUUAGACGAAUUGACCGUCAUAAUGCGUUCUUUAGGGUUAUCACCCACU